CGUGUAGGCGGCCCCUUAAGUUGGCUGUGAAAUCUCCCGGCUCAACCGGGAGAGGUCGGCCAAAACUGAGGAGCUUGAGGGCAGCAGAGGGAGGUGGAAUUCCCGGUGUAGCGGUGAAAUGUGUAGAUAUCGGGAGGAACACCAGUGGCGAAGGCGGCCUCCUGGGCUGCCCCUGACGCUGAGGCGCGAAAGCGUGGGGAGCGAAGCGGAUUAGAUACCCGCGUAGUCCACGCCCUAAACGGUGGACACUAGGUAUAGGGGGUAUCGACCCUCUCUGUGCCGAAGCUAACGCUCUAAGUGUCCCGCCUGGGGACUACGGCCGCAAGGCUAAA
Molecule: ribosomal RNA, 332 nt
Filed under: uncultured bacterium
Lineage: Bacteria
Description: bacterial SSU rRNA
Rfam family: Bacterial small subunit ribosomal RNA
Source: RNAcentral